AUCUGUCACACACAUCUUUCACACCUCUCAGUCCUUCUCAGCAGAGAGGAAGUAGAGAUGCGUAGAGAGGAGAGGUGGUCACAAGAGUUUAGAGAGAGUUUGUGAUCGACACGUUGAGAUGGAAAGGACCUGUCUUCUACUCUUGCUGUUGAGUACAUUGGUAUACUGUAGCCUCGGACAAGGUGGAGCCUCUCUGGGUGUCAGUCCUGACAGAUCUCAGUUCUUUAAAUAUGAGUCUGUCUCUCUGAGCUGUGAGGUUCAGGGGAAAUCUGCUGGAUGGAGAGUGAAGAGAUACACAGUCUCUGGGGAGCGUUCAGAUUGUGGAAGAAAAUGGGGAAAACCACAAGGGUCUUCAUGCAUCAUGUCACUAAUACCAUCACACAGUGGAGUGUACUGGUGUGAGUCUGGGUCUGGAGAACACAGCAUUGCUGUCAACAUCACAGUACAUGCUGGAGCUGUGAUCCUGGAGAGCCCUGCCCUUCCUGUGACUGAGGGAGAUUCUGUGACUCUGCGCUGCAGAUAUCAAGGAACUCUCUCUAACCACACAGCUGAUUUCUACAAAGAUGGAUCCCUGAUCAGGACUGAGACUACAGGAGAGAUGACCAUCCCUGCAGUAUCCAAGUCAGAUGAAGGACUCUACAAGUGUACCAACUCCAGCUCUGAAGGAGAAUCACCAGAGAGCUGGAUGACUGUGACAGCUAGGGGCUCUACCCCAUCCUCCUCUCCUCCCAAAGCCCUCCCCUCCCCCUCUCUCUCCUCCUCUCUCUGUCUGUCUCUGGGUUGGUGGCUGUUCUCUCCAUCUCUCUGAUCAUUCUACUGGUCCUGUUCUGCAAGAGGAACAAAGAUGUAGCUGCUGAACCCAGAGAUGUUACGUAUGCUGACGUCAGAAUCACACAGGACCCAGAACCCAGGAGAAGGAGAGUUCCAGGUGGAUCUGGUCCAGGUGAUGUGACCUAUGCUGACAUCAACCACACAGAGAAGAGACAACACAACAGGAGGAGAGAGAAGGUCGUUCCAGACCCUGUCUACUCAGCAGUGAAGACAGACAGAGAUACAGGUCAAAAAGGUCGUUCCAGACCCUGUCUACUCAGCGGUGAAGACAGACAGAGAUACAGGUAGAGCUGUAUCUGGAUCCUGGGACUGAACGUACAGACUGAGUGACCCUGUUCAUCAGAACGUCAUGGUGGAUGGAAAAAGAUGCUCUCUUCAGCUGCGGUGAAUAACCACAACCCUGUCAGUCCAUCUCUUUACUUCUCCUUUCUCUUAUAUUCUCUCUCCCUCCUUCCCUUUUCGUAACCAACUGCGGCCUUGACCUCCAACAGUAUCAGCAACAGAGAGGUGUGAAGUUUCCACAACAGAGAGAGUCAGUUUAUCAUGUACUUCUCUUUAGACGCUGCAGCCUUGACCUCCAUCAACAGAGUUAGAGUUAGUUUAUCAUGAGAACAUACAGACACCACUGACUGGAACCAGCUGACAGUAUCAGU
Oncorhynchus tshawytscha (Chinook salmon) is the source of this 1484-nucleotide RNA transcript. It is a transcript of the gene named Fc receptor-like protein 5, with no coding region annotated. The record is from RefSeq and is a predicted model, not a curated record. NCBI's taxonomy places the organism in Eukaryota, Metazoa, Chordata, Actinopteri, Salmoniformes, Salmonidae. The transcript is spliced from 9 exons.